Molecule: ribosomal RNA, 464 nt
Filed under: uncultured bacterium
Lineage: Bacteria
Description: partial 16S ribosomal RNA
Rfam family: Bacterial small subunit ribosomal RNA
Source: RNAcentral
GACGAACGCUGGCGGCGUGCUUAACACAUGCAAGUCGAACGGAAAGGCCCUGCUUGCAGGGUCCUCGAGUGGCGAACGGGUGAGUAACACGUGGGUGAUCUGCCCUGCACUUCGGGAUAAGCCUGGGAAACUGGGUCUAAUACCGGAUAGGAGCAAUUUUCAGUGUGAUGGUUGGAAAGUUUUUUCGGUGUAGGAUGAGCUCGCGGCCUAUCAGCUUGUUGGUGGGGUAAUGGCCUACCAAGGCGGCGACGGGUAGCCGGCCUGAGAGGGUGGACGGCCACAUUGGGACUGAGAUACGGCCCAGACUCCUACGGGAGGCAGCAGUGGGGAAUAUUGCACAAUGGGCGCAAGCCUGAUGCAGCGACGCCGCGUGGGGGAUGACGGCCUUCGGGUUGUAAACUCCUUUCGCUAGGGACGAAGCGUUUGUGACGGUACCUAGAGAAGAAGCACCGGCUAACUACGUG